Molecule: unclassified non-coding RNA, 348 nt
Filed under: soil metagenome
Description: partial contains 5.8S ribosomal RNA, internal transcribed spacer 2, and large subunit ribosomal RNA
Rfam family: 5.8S ribosomal RNA (bases 1-120)
Source: RNAcentral
GAUGAAGAACGCAGCGAAAUGCGAAAAGUAAUGUGAAUUGCAGAAUUCAGUGAACCAUCGAAUCUUUGAACGCACAUUGCGCCCGCUGGAACUCCGGCGGGCACGCCUGUCCGAGCGUCAUUUCAACCCUCAGGCCCCCCUUCGCUGGCGGGCCUGGUGUUGGGGCCCGGCCGCUACCCUGCGGCCGUCCCCUAAAUUCAGUGGCGGCCUCGCCGUGAUCCCUUGCGUAGUAAUGCACCUCGCACCGGAGAGCGCCGUGGCCACGCCGUAAAACCCCCAAUUUUCAAUGGUUGACCUCGGAUCAGGUGGGAAUACCCGCUGAACUUAAGCAUAUCAAUAAGCGGAGGA